Molecule: ribosomal RNA, 466 nt
Filed under: Vreelandella stevensii
Lineage: Bacteria; Pseudomonadati; Pseudomonadota; Gammaproteobacteria; Oceanospirillales; Halomonadaceae
Description: partial 16S ribosomal RNA
Rfam family: Bacterial small subunit ribosomal RNA
Source: RNAcentral
CCUACGGGUGGCUGCAGUGGGGAAUAUUGGACAAUGGGCGAAAGCCUGAUCCAGCCAUGCCGCGUGUGUGAAGAAGGCCUUCGGGUUGUAAAGCACUUUCAGUGGGGAAGAAAGCCUUGGGGCUAAUACCCUCGAGGAAGGACAUCACCCACAGAAGAAGCACCGGCUAACUCCGUGCCAAGCAGCCGCGGUAAUACGGAGGGUGCGAGCGUUAAUCGGAAUUACUGGGCGUAAAGCGCGCGUAGGCGGUCUGAUAAGCCGGUUGUGAAAGCCCCGGGCUCAACCUGGGAACGGCAUCCGGAACUGUCAGGCGAGAGUGCAGGAGAGGAAGGUAGAAUUCCCGGUGUAGCGGUGAAAUGCGUAGAGAUCGGGAGGAAUACCAGUGGCGAAGGCGGCCUUCUGGACUGACACUGACGCUGAGGUGCGAAAGCGUGGGUAGCAAACAGGAUUAGAUACCCCAGUAGUC